Molecule: ribosomal RNA, 586 nt
Filed under: uncultured bacterium
Lineage: Bacteria
Description: partial 16S ribosomal RNA
Rfam family: Bacterial small subunit ribosomal RNA
Source: RNAcentral
UGGGGAAUUUUGGACAAUGGGCGCAAGCCUGAUCCAGCCAUGCCGCGUGCGGGAAGAAGGCCUUCGGGUUGUAAACCGCUUUUGUCAGGGAAGAAAUCUUCUGAGUUAAUACCUUGGGAGGAUGACGGUACCUGAAGAAUAAGCACCGGCUAACUACGUGCCAGCAGCCGCGGUAAUACGUAGGGUGCAAGCGUUAAUCGGAAUUACUGGGCGCAAAGCGUGCGCAGGCGGUUUUGUAAGACAGAGGUGAAAUCCCCGGGCUCAACCUGGGAACUGCCUUUGUGACUGCAAGGCUUGAGUGCGGCAGAGGGGGAUGGAAUUCCGCGUGUAGCAGUGAAAUGCGUAGAUAUGCGGAGGAACACCGAUGGCGAGGGCAAUCCCCUGGGCCUGCACUGACGCUCAUGCACGAAAGCGUGGGGAGCAAACAGGAUUAGAUAGCCUGGUAGUCCACGCCCUAAACGAUGUCAACUGGUUGUUGGGAAGGUUCCUUCUCAGUAACGUAGCUAACGCGUGAAGUUGACCGCCUGGGGAGUACGGCCGCAAGGUUGAAACUCAAAUGAAUUGACGGGGUCAUAGCUGUUUCCUG